This 440-nucleotide ribosomal RNA is filed under the name uncultured bacterium. RNAcentral describes it as "partial 16S ribosomal RNA". It matches the Rfam family "Bacterial small subunit ribosomal RNA", at positions 338 to 795 of the family's 1533-position model. The record is from RNAcentral.
CCUACGGGUGGCAGCAGUGGGGAAUAUUGCACAAUGGGGGAAACCCUGAUGCAGCGACGCCGCGUGAAGGAAGAAGUAUUUCGGUAUGUAAACUUCUAUCAGCAGGGAAGAAAAUGACGGUACCUGACUAAGAAGCCACGGCUAACUACGUGCCAGCAGCCGCGGUAAUACGUAGGGGGCAAGCGUUAUCCGGUUUUACUGGGGGUAAAGGGAGCGUAGGCGGCGAUGCAAGUCAGAAGUGAAAGCCCGGGGCUCAACUCCGGGACUGCUUUUGAAACUGUGUUGCUAGAUUGCAGGAGAGGUAAGCGGAAUUCCUAGUGUAGCGGUGAAAUGCGUAGAUAUUAGGAGGAACACCGGUGGCGAAGGCGGCUUACUGGACUGGAACUGACGUUGAGGCUCGAAAGCGUGGGGAGCAAACAGGAUUAGAUACCCGGGUAGUC